GCUCAGGACGAACGCUGGCGGCGUGCCUAAUACAUGCAAGUAGAACGCUGAAGAGAGGAGCUUGCUCUUCUUGGAUGAGUUGCGAACGGGUGAGUAACGCGUAGGUAACCUGCCUUGUAGCGGGGGAUAACUAUUGGAAACGAUAGCUAAUACCGCAUAACAAUGGAUGACACAUGUCAUUUAUUUGAAAGGGGCAAUUGCUCCACUACAAGAUGGACCUGCGUUGUAUUAGCUAGUAGGGGAGGUAAUGGCUCACCUAGGCGACGAUACAUAGCCGACCUGAGAGGGUGAUCGGCCACACUGGGACUGAGACACGGCCCAGACUCCUACGGGAGGCAGCAGUAGGGAAUCUUCGGCAAUGGGGGCAACCCUGACCGAGCAACGCCGCGUGAGUGAAGAAGGUUUUCGGAUCGUAAAGCUCUGUUGUAAGUCAAGAACGGGUGUGAGAGUGGAAAGUUCACACUGUGACGGUAGCUUACCAGAAAGGGACGGCUAACUACGUGCCAGCAGCCGCGGUAAUACGUAGGUCCCGAGCGUUGUCCGGAUUUAUUGGGCGUAAAGGGAGCGCAGGCGGUUUGAUAAGUCUGAAGUUAAAGGCUGUGGCUCAACCAUAGUUCGCUUUGGAAACUGUCAAACUUGAGUGCAGAAGGGGAGAGUGGAAUUCCAUGUGUAGCGGUGAAAUGCGUAGAUAUAUGGAGGAACACCGGUGGCGAAAGCGGCUCUCUGGUCUGUAACUGACGCUGAGGCUCGAAAGCGUGGGGAGCGAACAGGAUUAGAUACCCUGGUAGUCCACGCCGUAAACGAUGAGUGCUAGGUGUUGGAUCCUUUCCGGGAUUCAGUGCCGCAGCUAACGCAUUAAGCACUCCGCCUGGGGAGUACGACCGCAAGGUUGAAACUCAAAGGAA
Molecule: ribosomal RNA, 905 nt
Filed under: human gut metagenome
Description: bacterial SSU rRNA
Rfam family: Bacterial small subunit ribosomal RNA
Source: RNAcentral